AGAGUUUGAUCCUGGCUCAGGACGAACGCUGGCGGCGUGCCUAAUACAUGCAAGUAGAACGCUGAAGAGAGGAGCUUGCUCUUCUUGGAUGAGUUGCGAACGGGUGAGUAACGCGUAGGUAACCUGCCUUGUAGCGGGGGAUAACUAUUGGAAACGAUAGCUAAUACCGCAUAACAAUGGAUGACACAUGUCAUUUAUUUGAAAGGGGCAAUUGCUCCACUACAAGAUGGACCUGCGUUGUAUUAGCUAGUAGGUGAGGUAAUGGCUCACCUAGGCGACGAUACAUAGCCGACCUGAGAGGGUGAUCGGCCACACUGGGACUGAGACACGGCCCAGACUCCUACGGGAGGCAGCAGUAGGGAAUCUUCGGCAAUGGGGGCAACCCUGACCGAGCAACGCCGCGUGAGUGAAGAAGGUUUUCGGAUCGUAAAGCUCUGUUGUAAGUCAAGAACGGGUGUGAGAGUGGAAAGUUCACACUGUGACGGUAGCUUACCAGAAAGGGACGGCUAACUACGUGCCAGCAGCCGCGGUAAUACGUAGGUCCCGAGCGUUGUCCGGAUUUAUUGGGCGUAAAGCGAGCGCAGGCGGUUUGAUAAGUCUGAAGUUAAAGGCUGUGGCUCAACCAUAGUUCGCUUUGGAAACUGUCAAACUUGAGUGCAGAAGGGGAGAGUGGAAUUCCAUGUGUAGCGGUGAAAUGCGUAGAUAUAUGGAGGAACACCGGUGGCGAAAGCGGCUCUCUGGUCUGUAACUGACGCUGAGGCUCGAAAGCGUGGGGAGCGAACAGGAUUAGAUACCCUGGUAGUCCACGCCGUAAACGAUGAGUGCUAGGUGUUGGAUCCUUUCCGGGAUUCAGUGCCGCAGCUAACGCAUUAAGCACUCCGCCUGGGGAGUACGACCGCAAGGUUGAAACUCAAAGGAAUUGACGGGGGCCCGCACAAGCGGUGGAGCAUGUGGUUUAAUUCGAAGCAACGCGAAGAACCUUACCAGGUCUUGACAUCCCGAUGCUAUUUCUAGAGAUAGGAAGUUACUUCGGUACAUCGGUGACAGGUGGUGCAUGGUUGUCGUCAGCUCGUGUCGUGAGAUGUUGGGUUAAGUCCCGCAACGAGCGCAACCCCUAUUGUUAGUUGCCAUCAUUCAGUUGGGCACUCUAGCGAGACUGCCGGUAAUAAACCGGAGGAAGGUGGGGAUGACGUCAAAUCAUCAUGCCCCUUAUGACCUGGGCUACACACGUGCUACAAUGGUUGGUACAACGAGUUGCGAGUCGGUGACGGCGAGCUAAUCUCUUAAAGCCAAUCUCAGUUCGGAUUGUAGGCUGCAACUCGCCUACAUGAAGUCGGAAUCGCUAGUAAUCGCGGAUCAGCACGCCGCGGUGAAUACGUUCCCGGGCCUUGUACACACCGCCCGUCACACCACGAGAGUUUGUAACACCCGAAGUCGGUGAGGUAACCUUUUGGAGCCAGCCGCCUAAGGUGGGACAGAUGAUUGGGGUGAAGUCGAAACAAGGUA
This 1506-nucleotide ribosomal RNA is filed under the name metagenome. RNAcentral's name for it is "bacterial SSU rRNA". It matches the Rfam family "Bacterial small subunit ribosomal RNA". The record is from RNAcentral.